AUGCUUCUCCAUGUUGGUAUGUCAGCAGAGCAAUUUCCAGAGACUUUAAAUGAUUGUUUUUAUAACUUUCUCCAGGUGAACGGUUGUUUGCUAGGGAGAACAUCUGCUGCGGUCCUCACGCUCCAUCCCAGAGGUCAGUCUCCUGCAGUUAAUCCUAAUACAAGAAAUACAAGAGAAGCCCACCAUGUCCUGUCAAGUGAGAGCCGCCCAGGUGUGACCAGCCCACCUGACCACCAUGCACUGGAGAGGCUGGAGCUAACCAUGGGGCCCAGGCUUUAAUGUGGGUGCUUCCGCCAGAGGUGAGAGCUAUUGGGGUGUCCUCAGAUGCAAAGGACAGUAAUUAAUGCAUGUUAUUUUUCCUUUGAUCACUAUUUCUGCGCUUUAAAAAGAACUUUAAUCUUUUCUCAUGGAUAAUUUCAAACACACGAAGAAUAGAGAGAAGAGUAAUCCUUAUAUACUCCUUACACAGAACAAAUCUCAUUUUAAUAGAAAUUCCAUGUCAUAUUAUUUCAGCAAUAACUGCUUGCGUAUGUCAGUCUAGC
RNAcentral lists this long non-coding RNA (542 nucleotides) under Papio anubis (olive baboon). RNAcentral describes it as "lncRNA (ENSPANG00000040983.1)". Lineage: Eukaryota; Metazoa; Chordata; Mammalia; Primates; Cercopithecidae. The record is from RNAcentral.